UCCAAACUAAACAGCAAAAAAUUAGAGAGAAUAAGAGUAAGAAUUCGAACAGAGUUCCAUGUGUUUAUAUUGGAUAAAUGACUCUUAGCUUGUUUUGCUUCUUGCAGACUUAUGGGAUUCAGGAAAAAUGUUUUGUUUAGUUCCUCUCGUAGAACUAAAGAGGUGAUGUUGAUACAACCAUUUUUUCCCAUUUUGUUUGACCAAGAAUGUAUUUGUAUAAAAUCCAAAUGCAACCGCAGUUGGGUGAUGGAUGACAUUAUCGCUCGUUUCUUUAACUUCUAAGAUUUCUACUUGCCAUAAAAAAAAUAUAAAAAAAAAAAAAAAACUAGUGGCAAAAUUAUAUCAAGG
This 348-nucleotide long non-coding RNA is filed under the name Malus domestica (apple). Its description in RNAcentral is "long non-coding RNA (MDOM_LNC005396)". Lineage: Eukaryota; Viridiplantae; Streptophyta; Magnoliopsida; Rosales; Rosaceae. The record is from RNAcentral.